UACGAAGGGGGCUAGCGUUGCUCGGAUUUAUUGGGCGUAAAGGGCGCGUAGGCGGCUCGGCACGUCCGUUGUGAAAUCGCCCGGCUCAACUGGGCGGGGUCAGCGGAUACGGUCGAGCUUGAGCAAGCUAGGGGGUAAUGGAAUUCCCGGUGUAGUGGUGGAAUGCGUAGAUAUCGGGAGGAACACCAGUGGCGAAGGCGGUUACCUGGGGCUUUGCUGACGCUGAUGCGCGAAGGCGUGGGGAGCGAUCCGG
Molecule: ribosomal RNA, 253 nt
Filed under: uncultured bacterium
Lineage: Bacteria
Description: partial 16S ribosomal RNA
Rfam family: Bacterial small subunit ribosomal RNA
Source: RNAcentral